This 82-nucleotide transfer RNA is filed under the name Echinostoma caproni. It matches the Rfam family "tRNA". Rfam says of the family: Transfer RNA (tRNA) molecules are approximately 80 nucleotides in length. The record is from Rfam by way of RNAcentral. Lineage: Eukaryota; Metazoa; Platyhelminthes; Trematoda; Plagiorchiida; Echinostomatidae.
GGCCUCGUAGCUCAGCUGGUAGAGCAUGCGCGUACAAAGCGUAGGCGGUGUCCAUGCGUGGGUUCGAAUCCCACCGAGGUGA